This 253-nucleotide ribosomal RNA is filed under the name uncultured bacterium. Its description in RNAcentral is "partial 16S ribosomal RNA". It matches the Rfam family "Bacterial small subunit ribosomal RNA", at positions 524 to 776 of the family's 1533-position model. The record is from RNAcentral.
UACGUAGGGGGCAAGCGUUGUCCGGAUUUAUUGGGCGUAAAGAGCGUGUAGGCGGCUGGGUAGGUCCGUUGUGAAAACUCGAGGCUCAACCUCGAGACGCCGAUGGAAACCCCCCAGCUAGAGUCCGGAAGAGGAGAGUGGAAUUCCUGGUGUAGCGGUGAAAUGCGUAGAUAUCUGGAGGAACACCGGUGGCGAAGGCGGCAUCCUGGACCGAUACUGACGCUGAGGAGCGAAAGCCAGGGGAGCAAACGGG